UCACGUAGUAGCUCCCGCUCGCUUCAAAGCUCCAGCACCCAGCACCAUCCAUCUCCACCACCCGGUGCCGCCCAUCUCCACCGACCGGUGUCCCUUCUCCAUUGCCCAGCGCCACCACCCACCUCGCGCACGUGCCCACCAGUCAGUUUACCGCUUCCUGCUUGCCGCAACGGGCGAGUCCACAGCGAGCCUCGCCGGCUUCAUCCGCCACGUUGCCAUCUCCUCUGGCCGGGGAGCUCGUCUCGAUCGGAGAAGCCCAGAUCUCCGCAGCUCUGGACCUGCAUCGAGCCCACGCGCAGCGGCGAGAAGCAACUGUGCAUCACUCGGCGGCACAUGGAAAGACAAAGAACCAGAGCAAAGCACUGAGAAGGGACGCACCGGCUUAGGGAAGAAAAUUUUGUGAGGCCGGGUCUUUCACGUAGACCCCCGCCGCGCCGCGACACGUGCCCGUGCGCACGUAGGCCCGCAUGCGCGCGCCGUGCGAUCGAGCGUGCACGGCGCGGAUGGGGUCUCGCCGGGUCCUUCGCGCGCGGGCCUCAUAGAAGUUUCUUCCCCGGCUUAGUGCUUCGCACUGAAAUUAAUAUGUUGAAUAAUUAUUAGCUCUCAGCAGAUAUCUGAAUGUUUUUGUUCUGGUCAGAAAAGUAUCAUCAGCUGAGGUAAAUUUUUUAAAUCACUUCGUAGUUUGACCAACGUCAGAAGCAGAUGGUCCUUCCGACAAGUGAUUGAACUUUCUCAUCACAGAACCCGGAGAUGGACUUCUAGGGGGCGAAAAUAGCCUGAGGUUGUUGGAUCGAAGGUAGUCAACUGGUAGAAGGCGUUGGAUGGAGAAACUGUGCUUCGACCGUAGUAGUCAAUAUUGGUGUCAUGUGAAGUGUUCAUAUAUCAUGGAUGAUGGGUUGUUUAGCAUGGGGACACUUUAACAAGUUUUUGCAGUGCUAAUGUUUUUUCAAAGUUUAGAGUGUAUUUCAAAGUAUUGUAUAUAGGUUUUUCAUAGUGUCUUUCAGAUAUUUGUAUAUUUGUGUACAUAUGUUUUUCACAUAGUGUCAAUGUACAGUUGAGUGUAUUUCAGAAACAUGAACCAAGCCUUUGACUGA
Long non-coding RNA from Phragmites australis (common reed), 1094 nucleotides. RefSeq lists it as uncharacterized. The transcript has 2 exons. NCBI's taxonomy places the organism in Eukaryota, Viridiplantae, Streptophyta, Magnoliopsida, Poales, Poaceae. The record is from RefSeq and is a predicted model, not a curated record.